ACAAAGUUAAAAUAAUAAUAAUAAUAAAUAAGAAAGACAUAAUUUACAGUACGUGCUAAAAUUUAAUUUUAUUAAUUUAUAUUAUCAAAUGUAAUUGAAUUUGUGAAAUACAUUUUUAAAUUAUAUAUACAUGUAUGUGUGUGUGUGUGUGUUGCUGUUUUUCAUUUAAAGAACAAGCACAAGUAACGCCAAAUAUUUAAAUAAUAAUAAUACAAAAAAAAAAAAAAAAAACAUUCACAAGACACCAAAUGCAGAUUUAUUGUAUUUUACAAAAUGCUAGAUUUAUAAUGUAGCUACAUCGAUUCGUUCAAACACUGAUUCAAUCGGGAAUGAAACCAAUGAGGUGCUUUGCGAGUGAAUCACUGAAUCAUUGACUCAACCGAUUCGUUCACAUACACUGAUUCACCCGGGAACCAAACACCAGCGCACUGGCUUUGUUUGGAAUUAUUUUUCUUGGCGGAGCAAAUUUCCAAAAACUAACUGAAACAUUGUGUCAAACAUGUUUGUGGGUCACCACAAUUUCGAUGGUUUAUUCAAAUCAUACCAAGAGGUCAAGGUUUAGCUAGUUCGCCCCUGCUGGGAUGUGCCAUAACUACACCAUUGUGGAGCCAAAUCCACAAACAAAGCCUAACAACACAUCUGCAAUGA
This is a long non-coding RNA of Cyprinus carpio (common carp), 648 nucleotides long. Lineage: Eukaryota; Metazoa; Chordata; Actinopteri; Cypriniformes; Cyprinidae. The record is from Ensembl.